This 604-nucleotide unclassified non-coding RNA is filed under the name Haliotis rubra (blacklip abalone). RNAcentral's name for it is "uncharacterized LOC124262587, transcript variant X9". Lineage: Eukaryota; Metazoa; Mollusca; Gastropoda; Lepetellida; Haliotidae. The record is from RNAcentral.
UUUGAGGCGGAUGUCCCCAAAGCGAGAGGAUCCAAAUGGUAUUGGCCAUGUAUGGAAUGAUCGUGAGUACUUUCUGAUGCACGAACGCCAAGUACCAAGAGACAGAUACUUGAGGCGGAUGUCCCCAAAGCGAGAGGAUCCAAAUGGUAUUGGCCAUGUAUGGAAUGAUCGUGAGUACUUUCUGAUGCACGAACGCCAAGUACCAAGAGACAGAUACUUGAGGCGGAUGUCCCCAAAGCGAGAGGAUCCAAAUGGUAUUGGCCAUGUAUGGAAUGAUCGUGAGUACUUUCUGAUGCACGAACGCCAAGUACCAAGAGACAGAUAUUUGAGGCGGAUGUCCCCAAAGCGAGAGGAUCCAAAUGGUAUUGGCCAUGUAUGGAAUGAUCGUACUUUCUGAUGCACGAACGCCAAGUACCAAGAGACAGAUACUUGAGGCGGAUGUCCCCAAAGCGAGAGGAUCCAAAUGGUAUUGGCCAUGUAUGGAAUGAUCGUGAUGUUGAACCAAAUGGGGGUAAAUUGGACAGUCUGGCUAGUUGCCUUUGGGUGCUAGGCUCUCUUGAUCACCCAUGCCUGGUCCACUGCCCUCUGGUUCAGUACUGUCUCA